UGGGUUGUGGCUCAGUGGUAGGGCACUUGCCUGGUGUGUAUGAGGCACUGGGUUCGAUUCUCAGCACCACAU
Ictidomys tridecemlineatus (thirteen-lined ground squirrel) is the source of this 72-nucleotide non-coding RNA. Lineage: Eukaryota; Metazoa; Chordata; Mammalia; Rodentia; Sciuridae. The record is from Rfam.